GUCGAGCGAGCGGAACCACAGAUUUACUUCGGUAAUGACGUUGGGAAAGCGAGCGGCGGAUGGGUGAGUAACACGUGGGGAACCUGCCCCUAAGUCUGGGAUACCAUUUGGAAACAGGUGCUAAUACCGGAUAAUAAAGCAGAUCGCAUGAUCAGCUUUUGAAAGGCGGCGUAAGCUGUCGCUAAGGGAUGGCCCCGCGGUGCAUUAGCUAGUUGGUAAGGUAACGGCUUACCAAGGCGACGAUGCAUAGCCGAGUUGAGAGACUGAUCGGCCACAUUGGGACUGAGACACGGCCCAAACUCCUACGGGAGGCAGCAGUAGGGAAUCUUCCACAAUGGACGCAAGUCUGAUGGAGCAACGCCGCGUGAGUGAAGAAGGUUUUCGGAUCGUAAAGCUCUGUUGUUGGUGAAGAAGGAUAGAGGUAGUAACUGGCCUUUAUUUGACGGUAAUCAACCAGAAAGUCACGGCUAACUACGUGCCAGCAGCCGCGGUAAUACGUAGGUGGCAAGCGUUGUCCGGAUUUAUUGGGCGUAAAGCGAGCGCAGGCGGAAAAAUAAGUCUAAUGUGAAAGCCCUCGGCUUAACCGAGGAACUGCAUCGGAAACUGUUUUUCUUGAGUGCAGAAGAGGAGAGUGGAACUCCAUGUGUAGCGGUGGAAUGCGUAGAUAUAUGGAAGAACACCAGUGGCGAAGGCGGCUCUCUGGUCUGCAACUGACGCUGAGGCUCGAAAGCAUGGGUAGCGAACAGGAUUAGAUACCCUGGUAGUCCAUGCCGUAAACGAUGAGUGCUAAGUGUUGGGAGGUUUCCGCCUCUCAGUGCUGCAGCUAACGCAUUAAGCA
This 838-nucleotide ribosomal RNA is filed under the name uncultured bacterium. RNAcentral's name for it is "bacterial SSU rRNA". It matches the Rfam family "Bacterial small subunit ribosomal RNA", at positions 61 to 866 of the family's 1533-position model. The record is from RNAcentral.